AGGAAGAGGAGAUGUGCAGGGAAGCCAGGACUAAGGCAGGAUUUUUCAGGAGAUGGAGAAGAUUCUUCUCAUUUGCUUGAGGACUCGUGGAGUAAAGGGAAGGCGCUCAUCUGAGUUGCAUCUGCUCAUCUAUUCUUAGUGCAGAGAAGUCUCAAGGCCUUGUUGAAGACUGGUUUCCACAGGACAAAAGAUGACAGCAAGGAUGUCCUCUCCCGCUGAGAGGGCACGAAGAACAGUCUGCACUGUUGCUGGAUUCAGAAGCAGACUGCAAGAUCAUUAGGCUAACUCUGUCAUUGUCUAGAGGAAGAUUCUGAGACCCAGCCCAGGUGUGGGCUCACACAGACAAAGUACGCACUACACAGUCCUGGGACACAAUCUCCUGGCUUCUGGCUCGGUGAUCUUCCCCUGUCCAGAGUCCUGUGAUUCUCCGUGUCAAAGCAGAACACUGCUAGGCAAGAAUGCAAGACUGCACAGAUCCAGGCGAAGGCUUUCAUCUUUAUGUGCAAAGUACUGGCAGUGAAGAUUGUGAUGAAUCUCCGUUACAGAGCAUAGAUCACAUGUCUGCAAUUGUACUACUCUGCUGAACACUAUCAAUCCUAUCUCUGUUAGUUAUUUAAAAGAUAACCAUUUCAUGAUGUAUUACUUUAAAAUAUACUUAUUAAUAUUAUCUUUGUUCUAAGGGCAGCAUAGUGAGGUAAAAGCACUAUUCCAAAUCAUACACUUAAGUGAUGGAGUCAGGAUUUGAACUCGGGUCUGUCAAGCUUGAUGCUCUUCUAUAAUUACUUGUCUACCAUAUAUAUUAUCUACCCAAGAAAUGCUCAUUUCCUAAAUGGGCUUCACUGAACAAAGUUAACCAUCCUGAAAGGGAAAUUAAUCAUUGGCUUUGUCCUAGAAAUCCUCUUUUAGAGGGUAGAGAAAUCUAGUUUUGUUGGAAAAGUAGGUUGACAAUCUGGGACUAUUUCAGUGGGUGAAAACUGUGCAGGUUACUGGUAGAUAAAUGUAGUAGGAGUCUCAUUAUAAGCACACUGAAAUGUAUUUCCUCUGGUGAGGAGAUAAAAGGGUGACAAGUGAGAGGAAAAGGUAGGAUUUCUUUUUAUCUCAUUGUCUUUCUACUGUUGAAAUUAAAUCUUGACUAUUACUGUCAUAGAGAGGGAUCCUAUGGUAGAUGUCAAAGGGAAACAAAGAAGCUAUUUCUGAAUUUUUGAGAGUCCACACCUUACAGUAAUAAAAGGAAUGUAAGAAAAUA
This is a long non-coding RNA of Chinchilla lanigera (long-tailed chinchilla), 1246 nucleotides long. RefSeq lists it as uncharacterized. NCBI's taxonomy places the organism in Eukaryota, Metazoa, Chordata, Mammalia, Rodentia, Chinchillidae. The transcript has 4 exons. The record is from RefSeq and is a predicted model, not a curated record.